Molecule: ribosomal RNA, 483 nt
Filed under: uncultured bacterium
Lineage: Bacteria
Description: partial 16S ribosomal RNA
Rfam family: Bacterial small subunit ribosomal RNA
Source: RNAcentral
AUUGAACGCUGGCGGCAUGCUUUACACAUGCAAGUCGAACGGCAGCGCGGGCUUCGGCCUGGCGGCGAGUGGCGAACGGGUGAGUAAUGCAUCGGAACGUGCCCAGUAGUGGGGGAUAGCCCGGCGAAAGCCGGAUUAAUACCGCAUACGACCUGAGGGUGAAAGCGGGGGACCGAAAGGCCUCGCGCUAUUUGAGCGGCCGAUGUCGGAUUAGCUAGUUGGUGGGGUAAAGGCUUACCAAGGCGACGAUCCGUAGCUGGUCUGAGAGGACGACCAGCCACACUGGGACUGAGACACGGCCCAGACCCCUACGGGAGGCAGCAGUGGGGAAUUUUGGACAAUGGGGGCAACCCUGAGCCAGCCAUGCCGCGUGCGGGAAGAAGGCCUUCGGGUUGUAAACCGCUUUUGUUCGGGAAGAAAUCCUCUGGGCUAAUACCCCGGGGGGAUGACGGUACCGGAAGAAUAAGCACCGGCUAACUACGU